AAGAAAUUGAUGCUGCAGGAGAGAGGGAAUAAUUGCCGAAGCAAAGAUCUUGAGGCCUGCUUCCACUGAGGGACUGGAGGCUCCUUGAGCAAAAUUAUCUACCUCUUCACCUUUGGAUCUUUCACAGUUCCCAGUUCGGUGUACUACAGAUUGUACUUGCUAAAUAAAAAAUCAUUGUCAUGGUUUACCUAAA
Long non-coding RNA from Homo sapiens (human), 193 nucleotides. Lineage: Eukaryota; Metazoa; Chordata; Mammalia; Primates; Hominidae. The record is from Ensembl.